UGAGUAACCUGCCCUUGACUCUGGGAUAAGCCUGGGAAACCGGGUCUAAUACCGGAUAUGACUGCCGGCCGCAUGGCCUGGUGGUGAAAGCUUUAUUGCGGUUUUGGAUGGACUCGCGGCCUAUCAGCUUGUUGGCGGGGUAAUGGCCCACCAAGGCGACGACGGGUAGCCGGCCUGAGAGGGUGACCGGCCACACUGGGACUGAGACACGGCCCAGACCUCCGUACGGGAGGCAG
RNAcentral lists this ribosomal RNA (236 nucleotides) under uncultured bacterium. RNAcentral's name for it is "partial 16S ribosomal RNA". It matches the Rfam family "Bacterial small subunit ribosomal RNA", at positions 118 to 351 of the family's 1533-position model. The record is from RNAcentral.